Molecule: long non-coding RNA, 9662 nt
Organism: Hypanus sabinus (Atlantic stingray)
Lineage: Eukaryota; Metazoa; Chordata; Chondrichthyes; Myliobatiformes; Dasyatidae
Exons: 8
Source: RefSeq, a predicted model, not a curated record
AACAGAAUCAGACUUAAUAGCACUGACUUCUGUGAUGUGAAAUGUGUGUUUUGCAGCAGCAGUACAGCAAAAAGACAUAAUAUACUAUAUAUUACAGAAAAAAGUUCAAAAAAUGGAAUAAUGAAGUAGUGUUCAUUAUUCAGGGACCACCCAGAAGUCAGAUGGCAGAGGGAUAGAAGCUAUUCUUAAAAUUUUGAGUUUGGGUCUUCAGGCUCCUGUACCUGUUCCAUGGUAGUAGCAAGACGAGGACAUGCCCUGGAUGGUGAGGAAUGUUGGUGAAGGAUGAUCAUGAAGCACCAUCCUUUGAAGAUAUCCUUAAUGUCGUGCCUGUGAUGGAGCAGGGAAACUCCCUUGAAAAGGAAACACAGAUAAACUGGAUGCUUCAGAUAUGACACCCCUCAUCAAAACUGAGAAGGAGAAACAAGUCAGAAGAGGUGUUAGAGAAGAUUGGGGAAGGUUGGUGGAACAAAAGGAAUUUCUUUGAUCAGCAAAAAAAAUCAUAGGAGGCUCGAUGAUCACAAAAUGCUGGAGAAGCUCAGGCAGUACCUAUGGAAAUGACAUUUCGAGCUGAGACCCUGCACCAGGAUUGGAAGGGAAGCCUGCCUUCAGGAUUGUUAUUAUUCCAAGCAAACUCAUCAUCAAACUCAAGGAAAUAUGCAGAUGCUGGAAAUUCAAGCAACACACACAGAAUGCUGGUGGAACACAACAGGCCAGGCAGCAUCUAUAGGAAGAAGCACUGUCAACAUUUCAGAUCACAAUCAAUAAGGAGAGGCAGCAACAUCUCUACCACGAUUGGUCUAAAGACUGGGUCUCCUCAAGAUUUCAUCCUCAACUCCCUAAUCUGUUCCUUGUACACUCAUGACUGUGUGGACAGAUUAUUCAGUAACUCCAUCUGCAAGUUUGCAGAUGACGCCAGCAUAGUGAGCCAUAUCUCAAGUAACAAUGAGUCCGAGUAUGGGAAGGAGAUCGAGAGCUUAGUGCCCUGAUGUAAUGACAACAACCUUAUCCUCAAGGACAAUUACUUCAGAAAGGGGAGCAGUGCACAUGCUCCAAUCUACAUCAAUAGCAUCAAGGUUGAGAGGGUCGAAACCUUCAUGUUCCUACAUCCAAACAUCACUAAUAGUCUGUCCUGGACCUGCCACCUUGAUGUCAUGACCAACAAGAUUCAAGAUUGUUUAAUGUCAUUUUCCAGUAAAGAAAAUCUGCAGAUGCUGAAAAUCUAAGCAACACACACAAAAUACUGGAGGAACUCAGCAGGCUGGGCAGCAUCUAUGGAAAAGAGUACAGUCAACAUUUUGGACCAAGACAUUUUUGUAUUCACUGCAGAAAAGGACCUUGAUGGCUUACAGCAGACUGAAAAGCGUGAGCACAUAUACAUUAAGAAAGAGGACGUGCUGGAGUGUUUGGAAAGCAUCAAAUUGAAUAAGUCACUGGGACCGGAAAAGAUAUACCCCAGGCUACUGUGGGAGUAUAAGGCAUGAGAGAGGAGUUGGCCAGAAUUGAUUGGAAAAGAACACCUGCAGGGAUGACGGCAGAGCAACAAUGGCUGGAAUUUCUGGAAGCAAUUCGGAAGACGCAGGAUCAAAGAGGAGGAAGUAUUCUAAAAGAAAGAUGACACAACCAUGGCUAACAAGAGAAGCCAAAACCAAUGUAAAAGCCAAAGAGAGGGCAUAUUAGUGGGAAGUUAGAGGAUUGGGAAACCUUUAAAAACCAACAGAAGGCAACUAAAUAAGUCAUUAAGUAGGUAAAGAUGGAAUAUGAAAGUAAGCUAGCUCGUAAUAUCAAAGAGGAUACCAAAGGUUUCUUCAGCUACAUGAAGUGUAGCGAGAGGUGAGAGUGUAUAUUGGACUGCUGGAGAGUAGAUAAUGGGAGAAAAAGAAACAAUGGAUGAACUGAAUAAGUAUUUUGCAUCACUGUGGACACCAGCUGUGUGGUGGAAGUUUUAGGUGUCGGGAUCAUGAGUAUGUGAAGUUACCAUUACUAAGAGAAGGUUUUUUGACUGAAAGGUCUGAAAUUAGAUAGGUCACCUGGACCAGAUGAUGUACAUCCAGAGUUCUGAAAGAGAUAGCUGAAGAGAUUGUGAAGGCAUUAGUAAUGAUCUUUCAUGAAUGGUUCCGGAAGACUGGAAAAUUGCAAAUGUCACUCCACUCUUCAAUAAGGGAGAGAGGCAAAAGAAAGGAGACUAGACAAAAGAGAAUUGUUUGAUUUUAUGUACAUGGAUUUUCAGAAAGCCUUUGACAAGGUGUCACAUAUGAGACUGCUUAAUGAGCUGUGAAUCCAUGGUAUCACAAUAAAUAUUCUAGCAUAGAUAUAGUAGAGGCUGAUUGCCAGAAAGCAAAGAAUGGGAAUAAAAAGAGCCUUUUCUGUUUGGCUGCUGCUGGUGUUACAUAAGGGAUUAUGUUGAGACUGAUUCUUUUUAUGUUAUAUGUCAAUGAUUUGGUUGAUGGAAUUGAUGGCUCUGUUGCAAAGUUUGCAGACGUUUUGAAGACAGAUGGAGAGACAGGUAGGUUUGAGGGAGCAGAGAGUCUACAGAAGGCCUGAGACAGAUAAGGAGAAUGGGCAAAAAAUGGCAGGUGGAGUAUCAUGUCAGGAAGUGUAUGGUCAUGCACUUUGGCAGAAGAAAUGAAAGGAUUGACUAUCUUCUAAAUAGAGCAAAAAUAUGAAAAGCUGACACACAAGAGACUUGGAAGUUCCUGAGCAGGUUUCCAUAAAGGUAAAUUUGCAGGUUGAGUCUGUGGUAAGGAAAGAAAACAUGGUGCUAGCAUUCACUUCAAGAGGACUAUAGCAUAAAAUCAAGGACGUAAUGUUGAGACUUUAUAAAGCACUGGUGAGGCCUCACUUGGAGUAUUGUGAACAGUUUUUGGCCCCUUUUCUUAGAAACAAUGUGCAGAAACUAGAGGAGAUUCAAAGGAAGUUCACAAAAAUUAUGCCAGGAUUGAAUGGCUUGUCAUAUAGAGAGGAUUUGAUGGAUCUGGGCCUGUAUUCACUAAAAUACAGAAGAAUGAGGGGUGACCUCACUGAAACCUAUCAAAUGCUUGAUAGAGUGGAUGUGGAGAGAAUGUUUCUUACUGUGAGAGAGUCUAAGACCAGAGGACACCAGAAUAGUGGAGCAUCCUUUUAGAAUGGAGAUGAGGAGGAAUUUCUUUAGCCAAAGAGUGGUGAAUCUGUGGAAUUCUUUGCCACAUGCAGCUGUGGAGGCCGAGUCUUUAUGCAAACUUAAGGAGGAGGUUGAUAACUACCUGAUUUGUCAGGGCAUGAAGCGAUACAGGGAGAAGGUGGGAGAUUGGGGCUGGAAGGAAAAUUGGAUCAGCCAUGAUGAAUUGGCAGCAUAGACUCAAUGAGCCAAAUGGCCUAAUUCUGCUCCUAUAUCUUUUGCUCUUAUGGUGUUAUGUUAGCAAUAUUAACUUCUUCUGUAAUAAUAUGGUGGUACUAUUAAUCAUGCUUGCAGCUGAAUCAUUCCUCAAAAUUGGAGAAAGUUAGAACAGUAUUGAAGAUAUUGGGGCAACACGUAUUCAUUUCAGAGUGUCAGCAUUAAAACUCUGUUUCAAAAUAUUCAAGUGGUUUCACGUGGCUUUUAAAUUCUUGCUACAGAGAACAUUUCAACUUUUUGGAAAAAAAUUACAGAGUGUUGUCCCUCACACAAGGCAGCCUCCCUCCGUUUGCUCAAUUUAUUCUUCCUGCUGCCUCAGGAAAGCAGCUGAUAUAAUCAAAAAUGACACCCAGUCUGGUUAUUAUCACUUAUUGCCCCUUGUGUUAAGCAGAGGAUACAAAAACUUGAGAGAUUAGAUACCAUUUGGCUCAGGGACUGCUUCUAUCUCAGUUUCCUAACUCUUGAAUGGGACCUCUAUACAAUAUAAGUAACUUUGUAAUCUCUCAACCUCAUGCUGGCCUUUGUACUUUAUUUGUCUACUUAUAUUGCACUUUCUCUAUAACCAUAUUCUACAUUUGUUUUGUUCCUUGUUGUAGACCUUGAAGCACAUUUGCAUGAAAUUAUCUGCUGAUAAUUAAAAAUAAAAAUGUAAAAUAAAAAUCCUUCUCAUUACAUGUGACAAUAAUAAAUCAAUUAUCAAUUACAAACAACUAUGUGUGCAAUAAGUAAGCUCAAUAUUCAAAUAUUAUGCCAAAUUUAACAGUGCAUCCUUUGAUUGUAUCUAACAAAACAAAAUGAAGUAGUACUUAGUUUUAUUUUCAAGGAAAACAAAUCAGUCAAAGAAACAUAAAAAAUUAAUGGGAAUUCAAAUGCAAACUAAAUUUAAAAAGACCCAUUAGAAUGCAUAUUUUCAGUUCCUUUUUCAAAAUGAGUCAGUUAUUUUGAUUUAUAAAUGACCUCCCAGUCAGUCACUCUUCAUUCAGAUAAUAAUCUGAUUUUUGAUUUGUCUUACUGAAGUGAGAAUUCCCCACAUUAAAAUCUAUUUGACUCUCCUCUCCUGACAUCUAUGAGAUUGUAUUCCAUCAGUAUAGUUAGAUAUUUGAGAGACAGCAUAAGCACAAAGGACUAAAGGAGCUGUUUCUGUACUGGCUAACUCUGGAUCAGUGAACAUUUUUGAAAGCAUUGUAAACUAACAUCAGUUAGUAGAUGUUUAAACAGUGGAGUUACACAAUCUCAGGAUAAAAUUAUGACACAUGUAGUUGGAAGAAGAUUGCACACAUUACAGUGAAGUUGCUAGAGUAACUAGUUUACCUGGGGGAAAAAAGUGAUAUCAAGUGUGACAGCGGGAAAGCGUGUAUGGAACCGGAGGAAAUAGCAGUGGUAUUUAAUGAGUAAUUUGCUUCAGUAUUCACUAUGGAAAAGGAUCUUGGUGAUUGUAGUGAUGACUUGCAGCAGACUGAAAAGCUUGAGCAUCUAGAUAUUAAGAAAGAGGAUGUGCUUGGCACUUUUCAAAAGCAUCAUGUUGGAUAAGUCACUGUGAUCGGCUGAGGUGUACCCCAGGCUACUGUAGGAAGUGAAGGAGGAGAUUGUUAAGCCUCUGGCAAUGAUCUUUGAAUCGUCAUUGGGGACGGUAGGGGUUCCGGAGGAUUGGGGGGUGUUGUUUCUUUAUUCAAGAAAGGGAGUAGAGAUAGCCCAGGAAAUUAUAGACCAGUGAGUCUUACUUCAGUGGUUGGUAAGUUGAUGGAGAAGAUCCUAAGAGGCAGGAGUUAUGAACAUUUGGAGAGGUAUAAUAUGAUUAGGAAUAGUCAGCAUGGGCUUGUGAAGGGCAAGUUGUGCCUUAUGAAUCUGAUAGAAUUUUUUCAGGAUGUGCCUAAACACAUUGAUGAAGGAAGAGCAGUAGAUGUAGUCUAUAUGGAUUUCAGCACGGCAUUUGAUAAGGUACCCCAUCCAAGGCUUAUUAAGAAAGUAAGGAGGCAUGGGAUCCAAGGGGAUAUUGCUUUGUGGAUGUAGAACUGGCUUGCCCACAGGAGGCAAAGAGUGGUUGUAGACUGGUCAUAUUCUGCAUGGAGGUUGGUGACCAGUGGUGAGCCUCAGGGAUCUGUUCUGGGACCCUUACUCUUUGUGAUUUUUAUAAAUGACCUGGAUGAGGAAGUGGACUGAUGGGUUAGUAAGUUUGCUGAUGACACAAAGGUUGACAGUGUUGUGGAUGGUGUGGAGUUCAAUCCAGAUAAGUGUGAAAUAGUUCACUUUGGUAGGUCAAAUAUGAUGGCAGAACAUAGUAUUAAUGGUAAGACUCUUGGCAGUGUGGAGUAUCAGAGGGAUCUUGGGGUCCGAGUCUACAGGACACUCAAAGCAGCUGCACAGGUUGACUCUGUGGUUAAGAAGGCAUAUGGUGUAUUGACCUCCAUUAAUGCUGGAAUUGAAUUUAGGAGCCAAGCGAUAAUGUUUCAGCUAUAUAGGACCCUGGUCAGACCCCACUUGGAGUACUGUGCUCAGUUCUGUUCACCUCACUACAGGAAGGAUGUGGAAGCCAUAGAAAGGGUGCAGAAGAGAUUUACAAGGAUGUUGCCUGGAUUGGGGAGCAUGUCUUAUGAAAGCAGGUUGAGUGAACUUGGCCUUUUCUCCUUGGAGCGACGGUGAUGAGAGGUGACCUGAUAGAGGUGUAUAAGAUGAUGAGGGGCAUUGAUCAUGUGGAUAGUCAGAGGCUUCUUCCCAGGGCUGAAUUGGCUGCCACAAGAGGACACAGGUUUAAGGUGCUGGGGAGUAGGUACAGAGGAGAUGUCAGGGGUAAGUUUUUUACACAGAGAAUGGUGAGUGCGUGGAAUGAGCUGCCAGCAAUGGUGGUGGAGAUGGAUAUGAUAAGGUCUUUAAAGAGACUUAUGGAUAGGUACAUGGAGCUUAGAAAAAUAAAUUCUGAAUUCUUUCUUUUCAGUUCUGGCAAAUAAUCAUCAACCUAAACUUUUAACUCUUUUUCUCUCUCCACAGAUGCUGCCUGAUCUGCUGAGUAUCUCCAGUGCAUUCUGCCUUUAUCUCAAUUUUUGCAACUACUGCUACUCUGUGGUUUGCAACAGCUUUUCAGAGUUGCCCUUACAGAAUCAAACAGAAGGACAAGAAUGAAAUCUUCCAAGAUCCCGAGCUUUACCCACAAUCUGUAUAAAGGUGGCAGUAAGGGUUGUGCUUAAUGUAGCAGUAAAUCCAAAUACAAUCACCGAAGGGAUUAGCUACCAGUUUUUAUUCCCAGUAGGAGAAUCUAAUAAAACUACAGAUACUUCAGAAAACAAGGUGAUGUCUAAAAGGCAUAACCCAGCUAACAGAAGAAAAGCAACAAAAAGAGCAAAAUUUCAAGUAUCUAAGAUGGACCAUUUUGAGAAAGGAGAUUGUCCUUAUUCAUCUUCCACACUGGUCAAAGUCAACUGUAUUUCCAUUCUCUGUCUUCUUUAUGCUUAAGAACUGAACAGAUUACAGCAGAUCAGUUGGCUCCCUCCAUCUGCGCCACAUAACCAUCCACAUAGUCAUUUUAAAAUGUUUUUUAAAAAUAUUUUUCAAUCUCCUAUCUUUCCCCAUUUAUUUCCUUCAGGCAUUUUUUCAAAUGGCAUUUCAAGAGUUACUAUCAAGUGUAUUAAAUCACUAAAUUAAAUUGGAAAAUGCAAAUUCCUGGGUACCUUAAAGGAAGAAGACUCCACUGAGACUUCUUCACAAAGUUUUGUAUGAUGUAAUGUCACAAAUUUUAUUGGGAGUGGUGCUGCAAUUAGCCACUAAGUGUUGUUGCUGCUUCGCAAUGUUUUACUUGCAUAUUGAUAAACAGGAGACUAACAAGAUUGCAGCUCACCUUAGUUUAGUGGAUUGCCUUGACAAUUGUUAGUAAUCACAUUCAAAGACACGUGAUCAGGGAGAUGAUUCUGACCAAUCUUUUCAGAGUUUCUAAUAUUAAAGUGUUUAUAUCAUUGUUCAAAGUUAUGUAUCUUAAGACUACCUGCAGUAGUUGUACAACAUGAAGGUAAUCUAUUAAGUGCCAGUGAUAGUAUACAAAAGAUAUGGAACCCACACCCAGUCAGCUCUUUCUAGAUAGUAUUUUUAAUUAAUGCCCAGAAUAGAAAGCUUAUCACUAAUUCUAUUUACACUAAACAUUGGUCCUUGUUGAGGGGCAUGAAAGCUCUUUCAUGUCAAUCCAUAAAACAGCAAAGCAUCCGCUUAAUGAUUUGAGUCACCCAGAUUAUAUUUCAGGUAAGCAAACAAAGUGAAGUGACACAUUUUCCUGCACACUUUCCAAAUACACUGUAUUCUAAACAUUAAUGUUGAGAACAGAGCUUGUUUUGAUAGAUGUGUCAAAAUGCUAUAUCUCUAACCUUUCCCACAUUCUUACCAGGCCUCUCCUAGUUAUUCACAGGAUUGCAGGUUCACAGAGUGGCUACCCCACAGAAGAGAGAAGGUUAGCCUUCCGUGCCUGGAGUAGCUGUGUGUAAGCGCCAUCAGCAGUCCAAAUUCCCUGCUUCUCUCCUGCACUACUUUUAUUUUCGGAUUAUCAUCCAGUCUCCUUUCCAGUGUCAUAAUUGAAUUUACUCUUGGUGGUAAAAUCCAGGUCCUCUCCACUAUCUGCACUAAACAAUGUUAAAUAUAAUUUUAGGUCAUGUUUCUUCUUUUGCCAAAAAUAAAUUCUUCCUCCUCUAUCUCUUUAAAGAGCAAACACAAGGAAACCUGCAGAUGCUAGAAAUUCAAACAACACACACAAAAUGCUGGUGGAACACAGAAGGCCUGGCAGCAUCUAGAGGAGAAGUACUGUUGACGUUUCGGGCUGAGACCCUUCGUUAGGACCCUUACAACAGAACUUGCUCAUCCUUGUAAUUUGUUUGUAUGUGCCAUCUUGUACGACAUGAGCGAACAUGGUCUUUCCAAGACCAUGAUUGUUCUUACAAAAUUUUUCUGCAGAAGUUGUUUUCCAUUGCCUUUUUCUGCGCAGUGCCUAUACUAGAUGGGUGACUCCAGCCAUUAUCAAUAUUCUUCACAGAUUGUCUACUUGGCAUCAGUGGUCGAAUGACCAGGAUUUGUGAUGCCCAGCUGUUUAUACGACCAUCCACCGUCUGCUCCCAUGUUUCUUCGUGACCCUGAUCGGAGGGGGGGGGGGUGCUAAGCUGGUGCUACAACUUGCCCAAUGGUCAGCUCAAGGCCUCAAGGUUAGUGGAUGGAAGAAGUGUCUCACACCUCCUUUGGUAGAGACAUAUCUCCAACCUGCCACUCCUGUUUCUUCACCUUGGGAUUAACUUUGUUAGAUAUCUUCUGUGCCCUCUUCAAUGGAUUCCCAUGCUCCAAAACUGGAGACAAUACAGCAUCACAGGUUGAGACAGUCAUAGUUAUCAAGUCGUAGAAUCAGAUGAAGCUACCACAUGGAAACAGAGUCUUCUACCCACCAGGUGCCAGCUGGACACUGAGCACCCAUUGUUCAGUGGGCUCACUGUACCCUACCAUAUUUUAUUGCCCUUAGAUUUGUGGUGGUGAGAGUAUUGACUGGCUGCAUCACUGCCUGGUACGAAAGCACCAAAUUUCAAAGUGCACAGAAAAGUUCAAAGUAAAUUUUAUUAUCAACAUACACAUAUGUCACAAUAUACAACCCCCAGAUUCAUUUUCUAAUGGGCAUAAACAAUAAAUCUAUAGAAAAAUAACCAUAACAGGAUCAGUAAAAGACCGACCAUCUGAGGCAUUCAACCAGAGUGCAAAAGACAACAAACUGUGCAAAUACAAAAAGAAGAAAUAAUAAUAAUAAUAAUAAUAAUAAUAAUAAUAAUAAUAAUAAUAAUAAUAAUAAUAAUGUAAAGAGGGUUUCUUCUUUUUGUUAACUAGCAGGAGUGCUAAUUUACUGAUAACGAGAAUGGUAUUCCUUUGUAAACCAAAUGGGGAUUAAUGUUCUUUCUUCUGAGUCUGUAAGCUUUUGUUGACGGGCUUUUGGGCAGAUCGGCGCGAGGGGGUCGAGAGAGAGGACGCAAUGCUCUAAGCUGGGCGAGGAUCGGACCCCAAAGGGGGGUCCGAGGCCGGGAGAUUCUCCGAGGACGGAGGGGGGGAUGAAGCUAGAUGUGCUUGGUUGACCACUCGGAGGGUCCUGAGCUGUUUGGAGAGUCCGAGGAGUUCGGAGGGGAUCGAAUGGUGGCCAGAAGACUUCAGUAAUUGAGCUCCAACGGCUGUGCAUGAAGUGGUUUGGACUUUGAUAAGUUUGGCGCCUUUUCUUUAAUUUUCUCUUCAUAUAUACUGUAUUGUUAUUAAUCACUUAGUUAUAGUAACCUUUAUAAAUUGUACUCAUUUA